Molecule: non-coding RNA, 115 nt
Filed under: Lentibacillus amyloliquefaciens
Lineage: Bacteria; Bacillati; Bacillota; Bacilli; Caryophanales; Bacillaceae
Description: SAM-I sequence
Rfam family: SAM riboswitch aptamer (S box leader)
About the family: The SAM riboswitch is found upstream of a number of genes which code for proteins involved in methionine or cysteine biosynthesis in Gram-positive bacteria. The SAM riboswitch acts at the level of transcription termination control. The predicted structure consists of a complex stem-loop region followed by a single stem loop terminator region.
Source: Rfam by way of RNAcentral
AACUUAUCCAGAGUGGCUGAGGGAUCUGGCCCUGUGAAGCCCGGCAACCUGCAGACGUAAUUGUAAGGUGCCAACUCCAGCAAAUCGCGGUUUCAAGCGUUUUGAAAGAUAAGGU